GACGAACGCUGGCGGCGUGCCUAAUACAUGCAAGUAGAACGCUGAAGAGAGGAGCUUGCUCUUCUUGGAUGAGUUGCGAACGGGUGAGUAACGCGUAGGUAACCUGCCUUGUAGCGGGGGAUAACUAUUGGAAACGAUAGCUAAUACCGCAUAACAAUGGAUGACACAUGUCAUUUAUUUGAAAGGGGCAAUUGCUCCACUACAAGAUGGACCUGCGUUGUAUUAGCUAGUAGGUGAGGUAAUGGCUCACCUAGGCGACGAUACAUAGCCGACCUGAGAGGGUGAUCGGCCACACUGGGACUGGGACACGGCCCAGACUCCUACGGGAGGCAGCAGUAGGGAAUCUUCGGCAAUGGGGGCAACCCUGACCGAGCAACGCCGCGUGAGUGAAGAAGGGUUUCGGAUCGUAAAGUUCUGUUGUAAGUCAAGAACGGGUGUGAGAGUGGAAAGUUCACACUGUGACGGUAGCUUACCAGAAAGGGACGGCUAACUACGUG
This 497-nucleotide ribosomal RNA is filed under the name uncultured bacterium. RNAcentral's name for it is "partial 16S ribosomal RNA". It matches the Rfam family "Bacterial small subunit ribosomal RNA", at positions 28 to 507 of the family's 1533-position model. The record is from RNAcentral.